CUUGCUUUUUCCGCCCCCAGGGCAUAUCUCCCAGUGGCAAAGGGGAGGGCGGAUAGGGCUCAGCGCGGCAGUGUGCAGAGUUCGAUUCCCCGCAAGGUGGAAUUGGCUUUGUUGCAAGCGGGAGUUACCAUAUGGGUUAACAGUAUUGGCCUAUCCAUGUGCUCUCCACCCUGGCUCCUGGGAGGCACAUCCUGCGAUUUACCUCCUCCACGAUGGCCCAGGGCAGGGUCGGUGGGGGCCCUUAAGGUUGGGGUUCAACCUUUUUUUUUUUAGUCCUUG
This 279-nucleotide long non-coding RNA is filed under the name Olea europaea subsp. europaea. The record is from RNAcentral. Lineage: Eukaryota; Viridiplantae; Streptophyta; Magnoliopsida; Lamiales; Oleaceae.